GUGUCAGCAGCCGCGGUAAUACGUAGGGGGCGAGCGUUGUCCGGAUUUAUUGGGCGUAAAGAGCUCGUAGGCGGUUCGGUAAGUCGGCUGUGAAAUCUCCACGCUCAACGUGGAGGGGUCAGUCGAAACUGCCGUGACUCGAGUCCGGUAGAGGAGUGUGGAAUUCCCGGUGUAGCGGUGAAAUGCGCAGAGAUCGGGAGGAACACCCGUAGCGAAGGCGGCACUCUGGGCCGGUACUGACGCUGAGGAGCGAAAGCGUGGGGAGCAAACAGGAUUAGAAACCCUCGUAGUCC
Molecule: ribosomal RNA, 293 nt
Filed under: uncultured bacterium
Lineage: Bacteria
Description: partial 16S ribosomal RNA
Rfam family: Bacterial small subunit ribosomal RNA
Source: RNAcentral